This 582-nucleotide long non-coding RNA is filed under the name Apteryx rowi (Okarito brown kiwi). Its description in RNAcentral is "lncRNA (ENSARWG00000004766.1)". The record is from RNAcentral. Lineage: Eukaryota; Metazoa; Chordata; Aves; Apterygiformes; Apterygidae.
UGGCCUAAUAUCUGUUGGCAAGCUGGGAAYACAAAAUGAAACACCAUUAUAUAUGAUCUAUUUACAGCUGUAUAUGUGCUGGUGCUGAUCCAUCUGCGUUUCAGGCCAUGUGCCACUUGGGGUAUACUGGGAGGGAAGCCCAUUUAGCAAACAAGUUUGCAGAACAACAUAUUUCUGCUGCUGAGCAUGGAUAAGAUCUUUCGCCCUCAAGGUUUCAUUUUUCUCCUGCAUCUGAUGACCACUGUGAGACAAUGCCUCUAUUAUCUCCUUACAUUGUCAUCCACAGAAUAAAAAAACCACAUUCAAGCGCAACAGCAAUCCAGUGCAGCAGGUAGAAUAUAGAAGAGAACAAGARACAGUCCGUGCUUUGGGCAGCCUGGAACCCACAUGCAAGAGCUCCAGCAAGAUCAGCGCUGUGUCUCAGCAUCUCCAGCCAACAGCAGUUGCUUCUCUGUCCAAAGCAUCCCACAACACUGCGAUUCAGAGUCCUAACUCUUCCCCAGCACACAAUGGGGCCCCACCGCAGAGAACAUGAGCUUGGCACGCAACUUGGAAACCAUUUCUCUCCCAUAUAUUUAGCCA